Molecule: ribosomal RNA, 429 nt
Filed under: Actinomycetes bacterium
Lineage: Bacteria; Bacillati; Actinomycetota; Actinomycetes
Description: Actinobacteria bacterium partial 16S ribosomal RNA
Rfam family: Bacterial small subunit ribosomal RNA
Source: RNAcentral
UAGGGAAUCUUCCGCAAUGGGCGAAAGCUUGACGGAGCAACGCCGCGUGAGUGAUGAAGGUCUUCGGAUCGUAAAACUCUGUUAUUAGGGAAGAACAAAUGUGUAAGUAACUAUGCACGUCUUGACGGUACCUAAUCAGAAAGCCACGGCUAACUACGUGCCAGCAGCCGCGGUAAUACGUAGGUGGCAAGCGUUAUCCGGAAUUAUUGGGCGUAAAGCGCGCGUAGGCGGUUUUGUAAGUCUGAUGUGAAAGCCCACGGCUCAACCGUGGAGGGUCAUUGGAAACUGGAAAACUUGAGUGCAGAAGAGGAAAGUGGAAUUCCAUGUGUAGCGGUGAAAUGCGCAGAGAUAUGGAGGAACACCAGUGGCGAAGGCGACUUUCUGGUCUGUAACUGACGCUGAUGUGCGAAAGCGUGGGGAUCAAACAGG